UACGUAGGGUGCGAGCGUUGUCCGGAAUUAUUGGGCGUAAAGAGCUCGUAGGCGGUCUGUCGCGUCGGUCGUGAAAACUUGGGGCUUAACCCUGAGCUUGCGGUCGAUACGGGCAUGACUGGAGUUCGGCAGGGGAGACUGGAAUUCCUGGUGUAGCGGUGAAAUGCGCAGAUAUCAGGAGGAACACCGGUGGCGAAGGCGGGUCUCUGGGCCGAUACUGACGCUGAGAAGCGAAAGCAUGGGGAGCGAACAGG
RNAcentral lists this ribosomal RNA (254 nucleotides) under uncultured bacterium. RNAcentral describes it as "partial 16S ribosomal RNA". It matches the Rfam family "Bacterial small subunit ribosomal RNA", at positions 524 to 776 of the family's 1533-position model. The record is from RNAcentral.